AAACUCUCCUCACCACUGGGGCUCUUCCUCUGCGACAGAAAAAAAACAGCAAGUGGGCAACGAGUUGAUACCAUUGAUUUGAACCUGCAGUGAUCCAGCAGUGAAAGGUCUGAUUUAUCUUCCCUGGGAGACCGGGAGGCAUAGAGAAUAAUCUACUGCAAGGAGCCCUUGCUGAUCAAAUUGACUGAAGCAUGCUGACAGUCUGCCUGUGUUCCCAGGGGUACCCCGUGACAGAGUGAGGGCGUUGCACAGGGCAGCAGGAGAAAGAUGACAUUAAGUCGAGUGGGAACAUUGAUCUGCUGGAGGUUAGGAAGGCUCUGCAGAGGGAUCUGGACAGGCUGAAUUGAUGGGCCAAGGCCAAUGGUAUGUGAUUCAACAAGGUGAAGUGUCAGGUCCUGCCCUUACGUCACAACAACUCCGUGGAACACUCCAGGCUUGAGACAGAGCAGCUAGAAAGAGACUCAGAGGAAAAGGACCUGGGGGUUGCUGGUCAACAGCAGGUGAGCAAGAGCCAGCAGUGUGCCCAGGUA
Molecule: long non-coding RNA, 530 nt
Organism: Pipra filicauda (Wire-tailed manakin)
Lineage: Eukaryota; Metazoa; Chordata; Aves; Passeriformes; Pipridae
Exons: 3
Source: RefSeq, a predicted model, not a curated record